Molecule: ribosomal RNA, 357 nt
Filed under: uncultured Holophagae bacterium
Lineage: Bacteria; Pseudomonadati; Acidobacteriota; Holophagae
Description: bacterial SSU rRNA
Rfam family: Bacterial small subunit ribosomal RNA
Source: RNAcentral
CGGAAGUCGAGGUGCUGCAUGGCUGUCGUCAGUCUCGUGCCGUGAGGUGUUCGGUUAAGUCCGGUAACGAGCGCAACCCCUGCCCUUAGUUACCAGCGGGUAAUGCCGGGAACUCUAAGGGGACUGCCUUGGUUAACGAGGAGGAAGUGGGGACGACGUCAAGUCAUCACGGCCUUUAUGUCCAGGGCCACACACGUGCUACAAUGGCCGGCACAAAGGGUUGCCAACCCGCGAGGGGGAGCCAAUCCAUAAAGCUGGUCUCAGUUCAGAUUGCAGGCUGCAACCCGCCUGCAUGAAGAUGGAGUUGCUAGUAACCGCAGGUCAGCUAUACUGCGGUCGAAUACGUUCCCGGGCCUU